Non-coding RNA from Rattus norvegicus (Norway rat), 63 nucleotides. NCBI's taxonomy places the organism in Eukaryota, Metazoa, Chordata, Mammalia, Rodentia, Muridae. The record is from Rfam.
GGGGAUUUAGCUCAGUGGUAGAGCGCUUGCCUAGGAAGCACAAGGCCCUGGGUUCAGUCCCCA